Thalassiosira oceanica is the source of this 73-nucleotide transfer RNA. It matches the Rfam family "tRNA". Rfam says of the family: Transfer RNA (tRNA) molecules are approximately 80 nucleotides in length. Their secondary structure includes four short double-helical elements and three loops (D, anti-codon, and T loops). Lineage: Eukaryota; Bacillariophyta; Thalassiosirophyceae; Thalassiosirales; Thalassiosiraceae. The record is from Rfam.
GCUCUUGUAACUCAGUUGGUAGAGUGUAGCCUUUACACGGCUAAAGUCGGGAGUUCGAUCCUCUCCGGGAGUA